AGAGUUUGAUCCUGGCUCAGAUUGAACGCUGGCGGCAUGGCUAAAACAUGCAAGUCGAACGUACCUCUUCGGAGGGAAGUGGCGAAAGGGCGAGUAACGCGAUCGAAUGUACCCCGAGGCGGGGGAUAGGUCAGGGAAACUUGGCAUAAUACCCCAUACGCUCUACGGAGGAAAGGUUUACCACCUUGGGAGCAGCGAUCGUCCUAUCAGGUAGUUGGUGAGGUAAUGGCUCACCAAGCCGAAGACGGGUAGCGGGUGUGAGAGCAUGACCCGCCGCAUCGGGACUGAGAUACUGCCCGGACUCCUACGGGAGGCUGCAGUAACGAAUCUUCCGCAAUGGGCGAAAGCCUGACGGAGCAAUGCCGCGUGUGGGAUGAAGCAGUUACGCUGUGUAAACCACUGUCAGGGAGCAGAAACAAUGAUCACUCCCAAAGGAAGGGCCGGCUAAUUCCGUGCCAGCAGCCGCGGUAAUACGGAAGGCCCGAGCGUUAAUCGGAAUCACUGGGCUUAAAGGGUUCGCAGGCGGGCUUGUAGGCAUCUUGUGAAAUCCCCCGGCUUAACCGGGGAAUAGCAGGGUGAACCACAAGUCUUGAGGCAUGUAGGGGUCAGUGGAACCAUGGGUGGAGCGGUGAAAUGCGUAGAUAUCCAUGGGAACGCCAAUGGCGA
RNAcentral lists this ribosomal RNA (666 nucleotides) under uncultured bacterium. RNAcentral's name for it is "bacterial SSU rRNA". It matches the Rfam family "Bacterial small subunit ribosomal RNA", at positions 8 to 718 of the family's 1533-position model. The record is from RNAcentral.